This 67-nucleotide transfer RNA is filed under the name Primeuchroeus sp. M48. RNAcentral describes it as "tRNA-Val". Lineage: Eukaryota; Metazoa; Arthropoda; Insecta; Hymenoptera; Chrysididae. The record is from RNAcentral.
AAAAUUUUAGUUUAAAAAAAAUUUUUCAUUUACAUUGAGAGGAUUUAUAUUUAAUAUAAAAAUUUUA